RNAcentral lists this transfer RNA (75 nucleotides) under Cohaesibacter celericrescens. RNAcentral's name for it is "Cohaesibacter sp. H1304 tRNA-Gln". It matches the Rfam family "tRNA". Rfam says of the family: Transfer RNA (tRNA) molecules are approximately 80 nucleotides in length. Their secondary structure includes four short double-helical elements and three loops (D, anti-codon, and T loops). The record is from RNAcentral. Lineage: Bacteria; Pseudomonadati; Pseudomonadota; Alphaproteobacteria; Hyphomicrobiales; Cohaesibacteraceae.
UGGGGUGUGGCCAAGUGGUAAGGCAUCGGUUUUUGGUAUCGUGUAUCGGAGGUUCGAAUCCUCCCACCCCAGCCA